This is a long non-coding RNA of Vitis vinifera (wine grape), 649 nucleotides long. RefSeq lists it as uncharacterized. The transcript has 3 exons. NCBI's taxonomy places the organism in Eukaryota, Viridiplantae, Streptophyta, Magnoliopsida, Vitales, Vitaceae. The record is from RefSeq and is a predicted model, not a curated record.
ACGGUAGGAUCAACACUUUGCUUCUUUUUUAUUUUUAUUUUUAUUUUUCCGUUUUCUUUUCAAAAGCCCUAAGAAAUCAGUUUCUUCUCAUACCCUGAUUCUGCAUCCUCCUCUUCUUUCGCUUCCAUGAGAGGUCAUUCCCCUUCCAAAAACCCACUUCUCAUCUCCCUUCUGCCCUUCCGUUGGCGAAACGAGACAGGUUCGGGAUCGGUUCUUUUCUCUUCCAGAUGAGCUUGAGAUUUUGCCGAAGAAUUAUGGUUGGACGAACGGUGCAGGCGAAUAAUUUGGAUGGAAUUUUGCAACAUUUUAGUGCAGAAGAUGGAUGGCAAAGCGCUUGUGGCGUGGACAGGUGGAAGUGAGGAAUGAGUUUUUGAACAAGAAGAUAGAGGUUCAAGGAAACUAUUAUAUGAGCAUCAACCCACUAGGGGCUGGUGCAUGCUGGUGCCAAAAAACCGCCCAGGAAAAUUUACUCACCACUUCUCUUAGCUUUCACACAUGAGAAUUCAGAGUCCUGGACAACAUCUCAUUUGAUGAAAUCAAGUUCCAUGGAACCAAAUUACAGUUUACCCCUUAAUGUUGCUGUGAUUACUCGUCAGGUGAUUGUCUGAAAUGACAGUAGAAUCUACUCUCUCUCUCUAUAGCUUUUGUU